CACAAGGCCCUUUUCAGGGCCACACGGUACCUCAAAGGUACCGG
Operophtera brumata (winter moth) is the source of this 44-nucleotide non-coding RNA. The record is from Rfam. NCBI's taxonomy places the organism in Eukaryota, Metazoa, Arthropoda, Insecta, Lepidoptera, Geometridae.